RNAcentral lists this ribosomal RNA (439 nucleotides) under uncultured Euzebya sp. Its description in RNAcentral is "bacterial SSU rRNA". It matches the Rfam family "Bacterial small subunit ribosomal RNA", at positions 341 to 792 of the family's 1533-position model. Lineage: Bacteria; Bacillati; Actinomycetota; Nitriliruptoria; Euzebyales; Euzebyaceae. The record is from RNAcentral.
ACGGGAGGCAGCAGUGGGGAAUCUUGCUCAAUGGGCGCAAGCCUGAAGCAGCGACGCCGCGUGUGGGAAGAAGGUCUUCGGAUUGUAAACCACUUUCAGGAGGGAAGAAGCGAGAGUGACGGUACCUCCAGAAGAAGGCCCGGCCAACUACGUGCCAGCAGCCGCGGUAAUACGUAGGGGCCAAGCGUUGUCCGGAAUUAUUGGGCGUAAAGAGCUCGUAGGCGGCCCAUCAAGUCGGAUGUGAAAUCUCAAGGCUCAACCUUGAAAUUGCAUCCGAUACUGCUGGGCUUGAGGCAGGUAGGGGAAAGCGGAAUUCCUGGUGUAGCGGUGAAAUGCGCAGAUAUCAGGAGGAACACCGGUGGCGAAGGCGGCUUUCUGGGCCUGUACUGACGCUGAGGAGCGAAAGCGUGGGGAGCAAACAGGAUUAGAUACCCUGGUA